This 202-nucleotide small nuclear RNA is filed under the name Phialocephala subalpina. RNAcentral describes it as "U2 spliceosomal RNA". It matches the Rfam family "U2 spliceosomal RNA". From Rfam's summary of the family: U2 is a small nuclear RNA (snRNA) component of the spliceosome (involved in pre-mRNA splicing). Complementary binding between U2 snRNA (in an area lying towards the 5' end but 3' to hairpin I) and the branchpoint sequence (BPS) of the intron results the bulging out of an unpaired adenosine, on the BPS, which initiates a nucleophilic attack at the intronic 5' splice site, thus starting the first of two transesterification reactions that mediate splicing. Lineage: Eukaryota; Fungi; Ascomycota; Leotiomycetes; Helotiales; Mollisiaceae. The record is from Rfam by way of RNAcentral.
UCAGCUCUCCCAGCAUUGCGCUGAGAUCAAGUGUAGUAUCUGUUCUGCCCAGCUUAAUCCCUGGCGCUGUCCCUAUAUGGCGACUGUCCUUUUCGGAUUUACUAUUUUUGUUGAAGCGGUGGAUCCGUGCUGCGCUUGCGUGGUAUGGGUUUGUCGAGUGUGUCCCUGGUCUUACACUGUUUCCAGGCGAUGCGAACUUUGA